Long non-coding RNA from Dalotia coriaria, 629 nucleotides. RefSeq lists it as uncharacterized. The record is from RefSeq and is a predicted model, not a curated record. Lineage: Eukaryota; Metazoa; Arthropoda; Insecta; Coleoptera; Staphylinidae. The transcript is spliced from 2 exons.
UUGACAGUUUUAAGAAUUGUUUAUCACCUUACUAAUUUACUUAUCUAAUCAGUUUCAAGACAGGUACAAAUGUACGUACGUACAUAAAUAUAUUAUAAUUUAGUAGAUAAUAUAAUUAGUUUAAAUUAAAAAUAUUGUUAGCCCCCACUGUUUUACAUUCGUUUGCAUAAAUACGCGCGUGGUUUAAAGCAAUUUUCAUCAGUAUCUGUACAAACAUUUCUACCAUCAACCAAAAUAUAAAGUAAAAUGAAGUUGUUCACUGCUUUGAUGAUUUUUGCACUUGUGGCUUGCGUUUGUAAUGCAACUUCACCUGCGCCAGUUGAAGAAUAUGUUGAACAUCCUGAAAAUGACGUAAUUGAAUCGGUCGAAAGCACUAUAUCAUCGCGUGCUGGUUGCACCGCCAGUUUCUGUUCCAACUUAUGCGCACGGUUGGGUUUCCGUUGGUACAGAUGUUUGAAUGCUAAUGUUUGCCAAUGUCUGCGAUAGACAAUUGGUGAACUAAACAGGCGGUCCUUUAAAUAUAAUGAUUCGAUUUUCUACGUUUUAUUUGUAAUCUCGUUACAUAUUAUUGCAAAUUUUAAAAUGUUAUUUUUCUGUUUAUAUCAUUCUUAUUAUAAGCAUUGAAACAA